GUUUUGCGCACGCGCGGGAGGCGGCCUCGGGGCGUCCGGGGCCUGAUGGUUGCUAGGGUGACAGCGAUACAACAUGGCGGCCGGAUCCUAACGCUCUCUGUCGAGGAGCCAGCGCGGAGGUCCUGGUUCGGGACCCUGCCUCACAGGAGUGGAAGCCAGGGGGCCUCCCUUUCUGCCCCUUUCUUCUCCGCCCAGUGUCGGCAAGGGCUUGUCGUCGGCUUCCGCAUCCAGGAUGAAGAACUAUAAAGCAAUUGGCAAAAUAGGAGAGGGAACGUUUUCCGAAGUUACGAAGCUGCAAAGCCUGAGAGACGGAAGCUACUACGCGUGUAAGCAAAUGAAACAACACUUUGGAAGUAUCGAGCAAGUGAACAGUCUACGGGAGAUACAAGCACUGAGGCGCCUGAACCCACACCCGAACAUCCUCACGUUGCACGAAGUGGUUUUUGACAGAAAAUCUGGUUCUCUUGCACUAAUAUGUGAACUUAUGGACAUGAAUAUUUAUGAGCUAAUACGAGGGAGAAGACACCCAUUACCGGAGAAGAGAAUUACGUGCUAUAUGUACCAGUUAUGUAAAUCCCUUGAUCACAUGCACAGAAAUGGAAUAUUUCACAGAGAUGUAAAACCAGAAAAUAUAUUAAUAAAGCAGGACGUCCUGAAACUAGGGGACUUUGGGUCCUGCCGGAGCGUCUACUCCAAGCAGCCGUAUACCGAGUACAUCUCCACGCGCUGGUACCGCGCCCCGGAGUGCCUCCUCACCGACGGCUUCUACACCUACAAGAUGGAUCUGUGGAGUGCAGGCUGUGUGUUCUACGAGAUCGCCAGCCUUCAGCCCCUCUUCCCCGGAGCCAACGAGCUGGACCAGAUCUCAAAAAUCCACGACGUCAUCGGCACACCUGCGGAGAAGACUCUCACCAAGUUCAAACAGUCGAGAGCUAUGAGUUUUGAUUUUCCUUUUAAAAAGGGAUCAGGAAUACCUCUACUGACAGCCAAUUUGUCCCCGAAAUGCCUCUCCCUCCUGCACGCAAUGGUGGCCUACGACCCCGACGAGAGAAUCACUGCCCAUCAGGCCCUGCAGCACCCCUACUUCCAGGACCAGAGGGCAGUGGAGAAGCAGGCUCUGGCCAGCCACAGGAAGUCCGUCUUCUCAGAGUGCCCCGUGGCUCCGGAACUACUCCUUAACGGCUGGCAGAUUUCAAAGGAGGGCAGGAAACAGAAACCGUCCCUAAAGCCAGAGGAGGACCCUCCCACGAGACAGGGACCCGCCUGCCUGAUGCAACUGCCCAAACUGAAGCUUUCGGGGGUGACCGAACUGGCCUCGUACCCCAGCCCCGCGCUGCACUCCGUGUUCGGACCCGGAGCGAACGGCAAAGUCCCGGUGCCGAGGCCCCCGAAGUUUGUCGGCACAAACCAGAAGGCAGACCCGCAGAAGGACGCGAAGCCUAACAUGAAACAGUGUCGUCUGCCCUCGAUAGGGAGGAGAGGCGGCCGCUACUGAGCAGCACACGCCGGUCGCCUCCCAGGGGCAGCACUGCGCGGAACCAGGUGCGGCCGGGCCGCCGCGAUCGCCUCCGAGCCUUGGGUGGAGGGCUCCGGGGAGAGCCCCGUCCCCCUCGCGGAGCCUGGCGCCCCGAGAGCGUUGCCCCGCUGGCCAGCCGGAGCCCGGGAUCUGCACCCCGAGAGCGGCCGUGCUGUGUUCCUGCCGAAUACGUUCGUCAGACCAGCUCAUUCGGGGCUUUUGUUUCAUUCUCGUAACGUUUUGUGAGCAUAUUUGGGGAAUUUAUUUUGUUGGGAAGACCGGUACGGCUUAAUUUUGUCGCGCUUGAAAAGCCCGUAAGGAGUAAACGCAGGCCUGGCCUGGGUGCCGAGGCAGGGAGGCCGCCCAGCAGGAGGCUCGUCGGCGCAGGCUUCACAGCUUCCUCCCAUGGAACUCGCUUUGCCGUGAUGGACAGCAGAGGCACCGGGGAAAGACUGCCGCUCAAACAAAAAUUCAAUGUCCAGCUCACCUUCUCCCUGUACGCCGUGCUUUAGUUUAAAGGUUACUGGGGGACAAAGAGAAAGAUGGAGAACACACACAGGCCCCCAACAGAGACCAGACCACUCUCAGGAGGGAGGCCAGCUGCCAUCGUCACAUAAGAACAGUUUGGGGCGCAUCCCGGGGGGGGGGGGGGCUCCCCGGACCCGCCAUCCGUGGCAGAUGCACAGUGGCCCUGCCGCCCGGUCUGCCUGCUCCCGAGGCCGGCUUGCACUUCACUGUGUCCUCACUGGUUAUUUUCACGGGGAGGGGACAGCAAAGACCAGGCCCGGUUUAGAGACAGCCGUGCCCGUCUGGCCUGCCCGACGACCUUGCCGUGUCGGUGUCCUCAGCGGUGUGGGGACCAGUUUCACGAACAGCAAGUCUGCCCCGGCCCAGACCCCGCGAAUCUGCCUAACACCCUAUCAGGCCCCAGGAAGGAAGCGGUUACUGGAAUAGUGACAAUCCGGAGUCUAAUAUUUACUAGGCUGUCCUGCCGUCACCAGACUUGCCGUUUUAUUGCCGCUAGAGAUCUCACUCGAAAAUUAAGUGAGGAGAUACUCCAGCUCUUGGUCACACAGAGACUAAGAGGCAGAUGCCAUUUGUAAAUUGAUGUCCUUCUACAGAUGGCACGGGCACAGUGAGAAAUCUCAGCAGGCUAACUUCUUCCAGAACGCCCGAGCCACACACCCCUCUUGCCCGACCCUCCACGAGACCCUCACGGCUCGCAUGACCCAAGCACUGCAUGAAGAGCCCGUGGAAGCCUGGCGGAGCCGAAGCCCCAGACCGCACGGCCAGGGUCAGGGGUGGGCACAGCACAGCCCUGGUUCCCCGCGAGGGUGACUCCCCCACAACGCGCCCCCCCCCCCCCCCCGGGCCCCUCGUGGCCCUCGACCCACUGCUCACUUUGGGCCUGGGGCCUUGGCUCCUGCUGGGCAGUAAACAGACCCUGUCCCUGUGGUAGCCUUGACCUGCCCAACGACAGGUCACAUCAGGGGUGACAAUUUCCCCCAGGGAGACCACUCGGCCUGAUGCCUCAAGAGAAACUCACCCGGAGAAAAUGAUGCUCUUUUCAGACAUCCGGGCAAAAGGCUUUCUUGGGGCACAAGCAUGUCGGGGCAGCUCAGAACUCUGCCUGGGGAGAAAGCACCCCCUUCCUAUGGCAGGAGGAGGGGACGCUCUUGUGUACCCUAAAAGCGCCUCUGGCUGGAGUCGCUUCAAGAGGGUCUCAGCCAUGCUGGCCCCCACCCAGAGCGAGAUGCUGGUCUGGAGGCCACCAGCACUCAAGGAGGGGAGGGGACGGGGCGCCUCCAGAGGCUCUGUCCCUUGCAGGAGACCACGGGUCCACAGUCAACGGUUUCUUCCGACAGGCAGACACGGGAGGAUGGAGUAUUUUUUCAAGGCACAGACUAUUUUUAAAAGAUUAAAAUGUCGUGUGUGUCUUUCUCAACUUGCUGUCAACCUCGCAGCGUUUAGGGCCGAAAAUCUACUCCCCGCUAAGGGAAAAACACGCCGUUGCUGUGGCGGGCAAUCAGGUCGGCCGCUGUGAGGGCGGACGAGCGACAGGCUCUUCUGCGCUGGCAGCUCAGCGUGAGAGGUGAAGUGCACGACACUUCGCGCCGGGCGCUCGGGAGGACGGCACCGUCAGAGGGUUCGGGGUCCAGCCCCCGGAGCAGGCGGAGAGGCAGCCCGGAGGGAGCUCCAGGCCCGAACGUCUCCUGUCAAGGAGCAGCCCCGGGGCCCGACCAGGUGACCUCCCACAGCCUCCGGGGCCCUUGCAGAUCCAGGCUGGAGUCCGGCCUCGAGGGGCUCAGGGCCAGAGAGAGGCCGGGGUGCAGCUGGGGGGCCGGGGGCAGGGGGAGGACACCUCCCUGCAGGACGAGGCGAACCGCUGACUCUCCCCACCCCACGUGGGCUGGGCGUCUCCGGAAGGACGGCUCCACGGCGGCCCCGAGGCCUCAGGCGGGCCAUGUGAGACAAGGAGGAAGAAAGACGAGGACAGCCCGGGACAGGAGCUCCUCCAGGAGCCGGCCCGCCUCGGUGCCCCCAGCUACUGGCCAGGGAACCCGACGGGACGCCCGACGCCGAGCCGCUGGCGGCCCAGGCCGCCCCCUCACGCGUCCGCGCCGUCGCCGAGGAGUCCGUCGGCAGCCCUCGCCCAGACGGGACAGUCGGCACCUCUGCCGCUCGGAGCAGUGAGUCUCCAGUCACGAGGACGCGGAACUGGGCGGAAGUGUGGGAACUCCCGUGGCUGUUGGCGCUCUCGACGUGAACAAGCACCGAGAAGCUUCCUUCUCCGGCCAGCCGGGACUGCCGUACAGCCUCGCUGUGGAAGCGACCACUGGAAACUGUCUAUGCGUCCGGUGUUGGCACGCGUUUACGGACAGAGGGCCCCCGAGCGCCUGGGGACACGCGUGGGCGGGGAGGCCCCGGCCGCGACGGGGACGAGGGAACAGCUAAGACCCAAGACAGUGCCACACAAACACCGUUUUCUUAACAUGAGGAAUCACCGAUACUGCCAUGAAAGCCUCAUUAAUUACUGUAACAGUUAACCUACCAGCAUGUCAUGUUAGGAAGGCUCUUCAUCAAAUUUAUUUGUCAAGAAGUUAGAUGAAAACGUAAAAAAGGACACACAUUUCACUUCUGAUUUUCAUUAAACGUAAAUAAUCAUACAAUUUUA
This is an RNA transcript of Neofelis nebulosa (Clouded leopard), 4691 nucleotides long. It is a transcript of the gene named MOK protein kinase, with no coding region annotated. The record is from RefSeq and is a predicted model, not a curated record. Lineage: Eukaryota; Metazoa; Chordata; Mammalia; Carnivora; Felidae. The transcript has 14 exons.